UACACUCCUACGGGAGGCAGCAGUGGGGAAUAUUGGACAAUGGGCGCAAGCCUGAUCCAGCCAUGCCGCGUGAGUGAUGAAGGCCCUAGGGUUGUAAAGCUCUUUCACCGGUGAAGAUAAUGACGGUAACCGGAGAAGAAGCCCCGGCUAACUUCGUGCCAGCAGCCGCGGUAAUACGAAGGGGGCUAGCGUUGUUCGGAUUUACUGGGCGUAAAGCGCACGUAGGCGGACUAUUAAGUCAGGGGUGAAAUCCCGGGGCUCAACCCCGGAACUGCCUUUGAUACUGGUAGUCUUGAGUUCGAGAGAGGUGAGUGGAAUUCCGAGUGUAGAGGUGGAAUUCGUAGAUAUUCGGAGGAACACCAGUGGCGGAGGCGGCUCACUGGCUCGAUACUGACGCUGAGGUGCGAAAGCGUGGGGAGCAAACAGGAUUAGAAACCCGUGUAGUCCC
RNAcentral lists this ribosomal RNA (448 nucleotides) under uncultured organism. RNAcentral's name for it is "partial 16S ribosomal RNA". It matches the Rfam family "Bacterial small subunit ribosomal RNA", at positions 332 to 797 of the family's 1533-position model. The record is from RNAcentral.